RNAcentral lists this ribosomal RNA (296 nucleotides) under uncultured bacterium. RNAcentral's name for it is "partial 16S ribosomal RNA". It matches the Rfam family "Bacterial small subunit ribosomal RNA", at positions 58 to 353 of the family's 1533-position model. The record is from RNAcentral.
CAAGUCGAACGGCACCCCUCUCCGGAGGGAAGCGAGUGGCGAACGGCUGAGUAACACGUGGAGAACCUGCCCCCUCCCCCGGGAUAGCCGCCCGAAAGGACGGGUAAUACCGGAUACCCCCGGGCGCCGCAUGGCGCCCGGGGCUAAAAGCCCCGACGGGAGGGGAUGGCUCCGCGGCCCAUCAGGUAGACGGCGGGGUGACGGCCCACCGUGCCGACAACGGGUAGCCGGGUUGAGAGACCGACCGGCCAGAUUGGGACUGAGACACGGCCCAGACUCCUACGGGAGGCAGCAUG